UUCCGGUUGAUCCUGCCGGACCUGACUGCUAUCGGAUUGAUACUAAGCCAUGCGAGUCUUUGUAGCAAUACAAGGCAGACGGCUCAGUAACACGUAGUCAAUCUACCCUAUGGACGGGGAUAACCUCGGGAAACUGAGAAUAAUACCCGAUAGAUCAUUAUGCCUGGAAUGGUUUAUGGUUAAAAUGAUUUUUCGCCGUAGGAUGGGACUGCGGUCUAUCAGCUUGUUGGUGAGGUAAUGGCUCACCAAGGCUAUAACAGAUACGGGCUCUGAGAGGAGAAGCCCGGAGAUGGGUACUGAGACACGGACCCAGGCCCUAUGGGGCGCAGCAGGCGAGAAAACUUUGCAAUGUGCGAAAGCACGACAAGGUUAAUCCGAGUGUUUUCUGCUAAAGAAAUCUUUUGUUAGUUUUAAAACCACUAUCGAAUAAGGGGUGGGCAAGUUCUGGUGUCAGCCGCCGCGGUAAAACCAGCACCUCAAGUGGUCAGGAUGAUUAUUGGGCCUAAAGCAUCCGUAGCCGGCUAUGUUAGUUUUCGGUUAAAUCCAUGUGCUCAACACAUGGGCUGUCGAGAAUACUGCUUAGCUAGGGAGUGGGAGAGGUAGACGGUACUCGGUAGGAAGGGGUAAAAUCCUUUGAUCUAUCGAUGACCACCAGUGGCGAAGGCGGUCUACCAGAACACGUCCGACGGUGAGGGAUGAAAGCUGGGGGAGCAAACCGGAUUAGAUACCCGGGUAGUCCCAGCUGUAAACUAUGCAAACUCAGUGAUGCAUUGGCUUGUGGCCAGUGCAGUGCCGCAGAGAAGUCGUUAAGUUUGCCGCCUGGGAAGUACGUACGCAAGUAUGAAACUUAAAGGAAUUGGCGGGGGAGCACCACAAGGGGUGAAGCCUGCGGUUCAAUUGGAUUCAACGCCGGAA
This 915-nucleotide ribosomal RNA is filed under the name uncultured archaeon. RNAcentral describes it as "bacterial SSU rRNA". It matches the Rfam family "Archaeal small subunit ribosomal RNA", at positions 1 to 923 of the family's 1478-position model. The record is from RNAcentral.